RNAcentral lists this ribosomal RNA (375 nucleotides) under uncultured organism. RNAcentral describes it as "partial 16S ribosomal RNA". It matches the Rfam family "Bacterial small subunit ribosomal RNA", at positions 527 to 896 of the family's 1533-position model. The record is from RNAcentral.
GUAGGUGGCAAGCGUUGUCCGGAAUUAUUGGGCGUAAAGCGCGCGGGGGCGGUCCUUUAAGUCUGAUGUGAAAGCCCACGGCUCAACCGUGGAGGGUCAUUGGAAACUGGGGGACUUGAGUACAGAAGAGGAAAGCGGAAUUCCAAGUGUAGCGGUGAAAUGCGUAGAGAUUUGGAGGAACACCAGUGGCGAAGGCGGCUUUCUGGUCUGUAACUGACGCUGAGGCGCGAAAGCGUGGGGAGCAAACAGGAUUAGAUACCCUGGUAGUCCACGCCGUAAACGAUGAGUGCUAAGUGUUAGGGGGUUUUCCCGCCCCCCUUAGUGCUGCAGCUAACGCAUUAAGCACUCCGCCUGGGGAGUACGGCCGCAAGGCUG